Malus domestica (apple) is the source of this 1239-nucleotide non-coding RNA. The record is from RefSeq and is a predicted model, not a curated record. NCBI's taxonomy places the organism in Eukaryota, Viridiplantae, Streptophyta, Magnoliopsida, Rosales, Rosaceae.
AAUAAAUAUUUACUAAGAUUUUAAGGAGUGAAGGAUUUUGAUGGAUUUGAAGGUGGGUAAUAUAAAUACCAAAUGCUAUCAACAAUCCAGCCCUCCCCCCUCUGAUUUCUUUCACGCCAGACAACAGAAGAGGAAGAGCCUCGCAUACUGAAGAUAGAGAAGGAGGGUGAAAGGGCAUCUACAUCAUCCUGAAUCCACACAUGCGAUUUAUGUAAUGUCUCAAACAAGCAUGGAAGUGGAAGGUGGGGAAGAAAUGGAAGUGGAUGAAGUGGACGAAGAAAUGGAAGUGGAGCAAAUGGUGGAAGAACAAAUUGAAGAAGAAGAAGAAGAAACUAAUGAAGAAGAAAUUGAGGAAGAACUUUAUGAAACCAUUAAAUAUUUAUUGAUGGCAAUUCAAGCUGUAGUCCACGUGCUAAAAGAGUUUAUAAUUACAUUUGGACAACCUAUUGAACGUCCUUUAAAUCGAAGAUCAAUUACUAUGGAAUGAUACAAUUAUAUACAUAAAGUAUUGAAAGAGACGGCCCAAAGGAUUUCCGGCAAAGGUAUAGAAUGUAUCGUGAUGUGUUUGUGAAGUUAUGCAUUAUUAUUAGAGAAAAAACACUCUUACGAGAUACAAGAUUCAUUUGCAUAGAAGAAAUGCUUGCAACAUUUUUGUGUAUUGUUGGACACAAUAGUAGAUAUUGUCUACUACGUGAUACGUUUGGCCGAUCACAUUGGACUGUCAGUAGAAAUUUUAACAAAGUCUUGAAGGCCUUGUACACAAUAGCACCGAAGAUGAUGGCCAAACAUGGAUUAGCAGUGCCAUGUAAAAUAAGGGAAAGUACGAGACUUUACCCUUGAAGGAUUAUAUUGGAGCUAUUGAUGGCAUACAUAUCCCAGUAUCAAUGUCCGGAUGUGAUGUAAGCAGUUAUUGUAAUCGUAAGCGUGUCAUAUCACAAAAUGUAUUAACUGCUUGUAACUUUGAUUUGGAAUUCAUGUACGUCCUUAGUGGAUGGGAAGGAUUGACUCAUGAUUCAAGAGUACUAAAUGAUGAUUUGACAAGAAGGAAUGGACUUAAAGUGCCACAAGGUUUUGUGGCUGCGUUCGAGAAAGCAAAAAAGAAAGAAGAAAAUAUUACUUGUAAUGAUGAAUUUUUUAUUAAUAUAAGGUUUUGUGGUAGUGUUUGAAACUUGGAAUUUGGAAUUUCAUCUGAUUGCUUAGCUACUGCGAUUACAUUAUUAUUCUGUGUAUUUGAGUUCA